Gallus gallus (chicken) is the source of this 1340-nucleotide long non-coding RNA. The record is from Ensembl. Lineage: Eukaryota; Metazoa; Chordata; Aves; Galliformes; Phasianidae.
CUCUUUAGGAAAGACAGACUGGCAAGGAGAGAUGGUGGAGUUGCUCUUUAUGUGAGAGAGCAACUAGUAACUGCUGAGAUCCACCUUGGAGUGAAUGAUGAACAACUGGAGAGCUUGUGGGUGAGAAUUAAGGGGCAGGCUAAUACAAGUGACACUGUUGUGGGUGUGUACUACAGGCCGUCUGAUUGGGAGGAGGAAGUUGAUGAGGCUUUCUACAAACAGCUGGAAAUAGCCUUGCAAUCCCCGGCACUGAUUCUCAUGGGGGACUUUAAUCAUCCUACUACUUACUGGAUAAGCAACGUGGCCAGGCACACAUGGUCCAGGUGGUUCCUGCAAUGUGUUGAAGAUAAAUUUCUGAUGCAGCUGGUGGAGGAGCUGACAAGGAGGUUCUUGCUACUUGAUCUUGUUCUUAUCAACAAGGAAGGUCUGGUUGGGGAUGUGAAGGUUGCAAACAGCUUGGGAUGCUGUGAUCAUGAGAUGGUGGAGUUCAUGAUCUCGUUUGGAAGAAGCAAAGCAAUUAGCAGGAUUGACAUUCUGGACUUCAGGAGAGCCAACUUUGUCCUCUUCAAAGACCUGCUUGGAGGAAUCCCAUGGGCUAGAGCCUUAGAAGUUGCAGAAAAGAAAAAGAAAGACACAAGCUGACUGCAGAUGUUGAUUUGCAUGUUAAAGAAUACAAAUCUGGAGAAAAUUGCAAAAACUGCAUCACAGAGAGCAGACUCGGUACAGCUAGAUCUGUACUUUUGUGAUAAAACUGAUCCAAAAGGAAGAAAUAAAAGUAAUCCAUCAGAGGUGUGCUGUGGGUCUCAACCUUGCCUCUGAAUGGGAGCUCCUGGGGAGUGCCCAUGCACACCUGACCUCGACUUUGCUGACUGCUGUAAGAAGAUACAUAACCACAGGAUUUAUCUUUUGUCCUCUGUGGGCCCCACAGAGAGUAGUUCUUCUGAACCUGGAAAGAAGAUGUCUCCCUUUCAUAGAAACAUUCAGAGAACUCAAAUGUGUGCUCUAAAUAUUUGGCCCAUCUUUAUUUUUGCAAUGGAUCUGCCUGGCCUCUGCAGUAACUGAAAGGAAGAAGCUAACAUACUUGUCUUCAGUUUCCUCACCUUGAAGGGCAGAGUGUGUGUUUAUCUUUGCUUUAUAUCCUUCUGUGUCAUCUGCAUAAAUUACACAUCCUGUACCCAUACUGCAUUGUGCGGAAAAUAGAAUUCAUUAUUUCCAGUCCUCCCUGCAAAUGUUAGUGAUGCUUCUUCAUGCUGAAAACUUUCCAGCAAGAGGCAAAGGACCAUUAAAUAUUUCAAAAUUCUGUCUCUCAGUUCCCUGUUACUCCUAACACUCUGAAAUAA